Molecule: long non-coding RNA, 733 nt
Filed under: Ovis aries (sheep)
Lineage: Eukaryota; Metazoa; Chordata; Mammalia; Artiodactyla; Bovidae
Description: lncRNA (ENSOARG00000026418.1)
Source: RNAcentral
UAAACUGAUUAAAUCGUGUUCCAUGUUCUGUCAGUUAAUAGUGAGAAAAUAUGUUUUCGUGUUCACGCCUUUUCUUUGUUUGGAAUCAAAGCAGGAUUGUUUUGAAACAAACCAUAAAUAGCUCACCCAGAGGAGCUUAGAACAUGCUCCGCGGGUCCCAAUCCGUUUCUGGCAGUGGGUGCAGUCUUGGCUGAAUAUUAAAAUCGUUUAGGAACUUAAAAAAUCCCGAUGCCGGGAUCACACCCAGAGCAUUAAUGCAAAAUCUGUGGAGCUGGGACCAAGGCACAAUUACUUUUCCAGGCUCGCCAGGUGAUGCCAACCUGCACGUGGAAUGAAGAACCUAAGCCACGGGAUUGUAUCCCAGACUACAUUUCCCAGAAGCCUCAAAGGGCACUGCCGUUUCCGGCCUCGGCAGUCACCGUUUGAGCGGAGCGCGGCCUCCGCUUGCUUGUGGGUUUCGGCGGUAAACACAGCUUUGGGUGCUUGUGGCUGUUCUGCACGGAGCUUUGCGGCGGCGCCCUCCCAGCUCGGUGGAGAAUGGCUGCUGCCGGGGGACACAGACCUGCGCGCCGCCUUUCCUCGAGCGGCAGUUCAGGUGUGUGUAUUUGAAGCAAAGAUGUCAGCCCUAAAGCAAAAUACUGAGAGAUGUGAUUUGGGAGAACAAACAGAGUGUCAUGAUGGUAAGCAUCCUGUAUUGGGAAGGCAGAAGCUGCACAGAGAAGACACGCUAUAA